RNAcentral lists this ribosomal RNA (600 nucleotides) under Eimeria sp. Its description in RNAcentral is "SSU rRNA". It matches the Rfam family "Eukaryotic small subunit ribosomal RNA", at positions 140 to 739 of the family's 1831-position model. The record is from RNAcentral. Lineage: Eukaryota; Apicomplexa; Conoidasida; Eucoccidiorida; Eimeriidae.
UGGAUAACCAUGGUAAUUCUAUGGCUAAUACAUGCGCAAUCGCCUCCUUCUCUGGAGGGGCUGUGUUUAUUAGAUACAAAACCAACCCACUUUGUGGAGUCCUGGUGAUUCAUAGUAACCGAACGGAUCGCAUUUGGCUUCGGCCCGCGAUGGAUCUUUCAAGUUUCUGACCUAUCAGCUUUCGACGGUAGGGUAUUGGCCUACCGUGGCAGUGACGGGUAACGGGGAAUUAGGGUUCGAUUCCGGAGAGGGAGCCUGAGAAACGGCUACCACAUCUAAGGAAGGCAGCAGGCGCGCAAAUUACCCAAUGAAAACAGUUUCGAGGUAGUGACGAGAAAUAACAAUACAGGGCAUUUUAUGCUCUGUAAUUGGAAUGAUGGGAAUGUAAAACCCUUUCAGAGUAACAAUUGGAGGGCAAGUCUGGUGCCAGCAGCCGCGGUAAUUCCAGCUCCAAUAGUGUAUAUUAGAGUUGUUGCAGUUAAAAAGCUCGUAGUUGGAUUUCUGUCGUGGUCAUCCGGUUCCGCCCGUAUGGGUGCGCACCUGGUUUGCCCUCGGCUUUCUUCCGGUAGCCUUCCGCGCUUCACUGCGUGUGUUGGUGUU